This 447-nucleotide ribosomal RNA is filed under the name uncultured bacterium. RNAcentral's name for it is "bacterial SSU rRNA". It matches the Rfam family "Bacterial small subunit ribosomal RNA", at positions 329 to 793 of the family's 1533-position model. The record is from RNAcentral.
UUCCAGACUCCUACGGGAGGCAGCAGUGGGGAAUAUUGCACAAUGGGGGGAACCCUGAUGCAGCGACGCCGCGUGAGUGAAGAAGUAUUUCGGUAUGUAAAGCUCUAUCAGCAGGGACGAAGAUGACGGUACCUGCAGAAGAAGCCCCGGCUAACUACGUGCCAGCAGCCGCGGUAAUACGUAGGGGGCAAGCGUUAUCCGGAUUUACUGGGUGUAAAGGGAGCGUAGACGGAAAGGCAAGUCAGAAGUGAAAACCCAAGGCUCAACCAUGGGACUGCUUUUGAAACUGUCAAACUAGAGUACGGGAGAGGUAAGAGGAAUUCCUAGUGUAGCGGUGAAAUGCGUAGAUAUUAGGAGGAACACCAGUGGCGAAGGCGUCUUACUGGACCGAAACUGACGUUGAGGCUCGAAAGCGUGGGGAGCAAACAGGAUUAGAUACCCGGGUAC